UUGCUUGUGAAAUUUGAUUCAUGGGAUUCAUUCAUCGUGAUAUAAUCAUGCAGUGCUUGAAAAUGUAAAGGAAAUUAUCACCACUGUCAUCCUGUGAAGAUUGGCAGUACUGAGUCUAGGCUACGAGGAUUUUAUCCUUAAAACAGCGGGGAUGUGUUGUAUAAAGUAGCCAUGCACAGAACACAAUUCGUGGUUUCCGGUGUGAUAAUACGGAUAUGUGUGAUAUUGAAGUAUCAAAAGAAAAGAAAAACAACGGUACAACACGUUAUUGCAAUUGCUCUGCAGGAUCAGUCUGGGUGCAACCUGAUGUAACCCAGUGCAGAAGGUUGUGCAGGUUGAGGCAUAGACAUAUAAACGUUUAUGUCUAUUGAUUGAGGAUAAGUGACGCUUAUUUUGCGACAGUUACAUUGACGUCAUUUAAGCGACGAAUGUACAACAUCAACAACGUCAAGAGAGCAUGGAGGAAGUCGAAGUAGUUGUAUUCUUUAUGGUGUUUUAUUAUUGUGCGAACGUAUUUCUCACAUCAAUGCUGGAAAAGAGGUUGUCGAAUGUGGACAAGGAGAUUGAAUACGCGGAGAUGGCUAGAGCUGAUAGGAGAAGAGAACUCCAACUAAGAAUUAUGGAGCUCGACUUUGAAUUGGCUCGGGCAGAAGUUAGGCACCAACGACGAAGAAGGAUGCUUCGAUACUUUCAUGCACGUCGUUCUCCCGUGUCUGUUUGGAUCCGCAACAGAGCAAGACAAGUGACAGGAACCGGAACAUGAUGACCAACAGGGAUCAUAAGAUGCGAUUCUGUAUGUGACAGUAAUCAACCUUUCUUGGCAGUGUUAUGAUCCUUAAGUAAGGACCGCUAAACACCUAGCCUGACUGGAUUUGGCAUCACCGCUUUGUUCUACUGUUGCGACCGGUGAAGUACUAUCUCCAUUGUUGCGGACAACGACGGAUAUGCUUAAGAUCUUGUGAUGUAACAUAAGACGAGGGGAGAAGGGUGCUACCCCAAGCAUUUGUGGUCAGUGCUAAAUUCUACAAAAGUAUCCUUUUAAAGGAGGGCCAAGGGACUGGUCUUUUGGGAAAUGUUUUCACCUGAUUACUUGUAUGAUGGCGCAAUUCUAUGGAUGGUACAGUUUACUACUGGUCAACAUUGUGGAUACUAAUGGAUAAAAUGACGACACUAGCCAGAAAUACUGGUUACUAUGGUCACUGUGUCUGUUUUGUUUACCCAGCCUGUCCUUUCCAAAGCAGUAUUUUUAAUGUUUUCUUUGACAGUGGUCAACGUGAGUGGGUGCGUCAGCGUUGAUAUGGUACAACCAGCAACGAUUGAUUGUUUGAUAUCUUUGUCACUGAGUGUUAAUAAAUAUAACUGCUUUAAGAUGUC
Molecule: long non-coding RNA, 1374 nt
Organism: Clupea harengus (Atlantic herring)
Lineage: Eukaryota; Metazoa; Chordata; Actinopteri; Clupeiformes; Clupeidae
Source: RefSeq, a predicted model, not a curated record